This 165-nucleotide microRNA precursor is filed under the name Theobroma cacao (cacao). RNAcentral's name for it is "miR398b stem-loop (tcc-MIR398b)". Its record names the gene tcc-MIR398b. Lineage: Eukaryota; Viridiplantae; Streptophyta; Magnoliopsida; Malvales; Malvaceae. The record is from miRBase by way of RNAcentral.
CAGCCAGAUGGUUUACCACGAAGGGGUGCCACCUAAGAACCCAGGCGGUUUGGCCUGAGCUAGGCCUUUGCCAAGCUGCUAUGAAAAGGAAGGCUGAAUGCUAAUGCAGCCAGCAGCAACCGGUUGUGUUCUCAGGUCACCCCUUCGCGGUACUUCUAUCUUCGC